GUACACUCCUGCGGGAGGCAGCAGUGGGGAAUAUUGGACAAUGGGCGCAAGCCUGAUCCAGCCAUGCCGCGUGAGUGAUGAAGGCCCUAGGGUUGUAAAGCUCUUUCACCGGAGAAGAUAAUGACGGUAUCCGGAGAAGAAGCCCCGGCUAACUUCGUGCCAGCAGCCGCGGUAAUACGAAGGGGGCUAGCGUUGUUCGGAAUUACUGGGCGUAAAGCGCACGUAGGCGGAUCGAUCAGUCAGGGGUGAAAUCCCAGGGCUCAACCCUGGAACUGCCUUUGAUACUGUCGAUCUGGAGUAUGGAAGAGGUGAGUGGAAUUCCGAGUGUAGAGGUGAAAUUCGUAGAUAUUCGGAGGAACACCAGUGGCGAAGGCGGCUCACUGGUCCAUUACUGACGCUGAGGUGCGAAAGCGUGGGGAGCAAACAGGAUUAGAAACCCCAGUAGUCC
RNAcentral lists this ribosomal RNA (448 nucleotides) under uncultured organism. RNAcentral's name for it is "partial 16S ribosomal RNA". It matches the Rfam family "Bacterial small subunit ribosomal RNA", at positions 331 to 796 of the family's 1533-position model. The record is from RNAcentral.